CGGGGGGAGCAAGCGUUGUUCGGAUUUACUGGGCGUAAAGGGCGCGUAGGCGGCCACCGCAAGUCGACUGUGAAAUCUCCGGGCUUAACCCGGAAAGGUCAGCCGAUACUGCGGGGCUAGAGUGCAGAAGGGGCAACUGGAAUUCUCGGUGUAGCGGUGAAAUGCGUAGAUAUCGAGAGGAACACCUGCGGCGAAGGCGGGUUGCUGGGCUGACACUGACGCUGAUGCGCGGAAGCUAGGGGAGCGAACGGGAUUAGAUACCCCGGUAGUCCUAGCCUUAAACGAUGAAUGCUUGGUGUCUGGGGUUUUAUAGUCCCCGGGUGCCGUCGCUAACGCUUUAAGCAUUCCGCCUGGGGAGUACGGUCGCAAGACUG
This 374-nucleotide ribosomal RNA is filed under the name uncultured organism. Its description in RNAcentral is "bacterial SSU rRNA". It matches the Rfam family "Bacterial small subunit ribosomal RNA", at positions 526 to 896 of the family's 1533-position model. The record is from RNAcentral.